RNAcentral lists this long non-coding RNA (306 nucleotides) under Spirodela polyrhiza (greater duckweed). Its description in RNAcentral is "long non-coding RNA (SPOL_LNC000582)". Lineage: Eukaryota; Viridiplantae; Streptophyta; Magnoliopsida; Alismatales; Araceae. The record is from RNAcentral.
UCACCCGCCGGGCCCGGCCGCCGAUCAUCCCCGAGUUGGGCGUCAGGGUGGUGAAUGUCACCGGUGAUCCCGAAGUCAACCCGGCCCUGGUCGCCGGGCCCGUCAAGGAACAGGCCGAGGUCUCUACAGCAAACCCAUAGCCGGCCGGAUAUGAGUCAACCCUGUAAAUAAAUAGACACACAAAAAUGGAGGCGGCACCCGCCACAGAAUCCUACCAUUUAUCUCCCCCCGAUCCCCAUCUCGGUCAGCUAAUCAGCGGCGGCGCCGCUGCCGGAGGGGACGACGGCGGAGAGAGGCAGCCCGCCU